RNAcentral lists this ribosomal RNA (387 nucleotides) under uncultured eukaryote. RNAcentral describes it as "partial small subunit ribosomal RNA". It matches the Rfam family "Eukaryotic small subunit ribosomal RNA", at positions 587 to 972 of the family's 1831-position model. The record is from RNAcentral.
AGCUCCAGUAGCGUAUAUUAAAAUUGUUGCAGUUAAAAAGCUCGUAGUUGAAUUUUUGCUAAAAAUAACCGGUCUGCUUUUAAUAAAGGUAGUAUCUUGGUGUGUUUUAAGCAAUAAUGUCCUUUGAAAUGUUUUUUACUUUAUUGUAAAAAACAAUAUUCAGGAUUUUUACUUUGAGAAAAUUAGAGUGUUUCAAGCAAGCUAACGUUUUGAAUACUGCAGCAUGGAAUAAUAAAAUAGGAUUUUGGUUCUACAGUAUUGGUUUUAAGAACUAAAUUAAUGAUUGAUAGGGACAGUUGGGGGCAUUUGUAUUUAACUGUCAGAGGUGAAAUUCUUAGAUUUGUUAAAGACAAACUACUGCGAAAGCAUUUGUCAAAGAUGUUUUCA